RNAcentral lists this ribosomal RNA (598 nucleotides) under Anaplasma phagocytophilum. RNAcentral's name for it is "bacterial SSU rRNA". It matches the Rfam family "Bacterial small subunit ribosomal RNA", at positions 839 to 1435 of the family's 1533-position model. Lineage: Bacteria; Pseudomonadati; Pseudomonadota; Alphaproteobacteria; Rickettsiales; Anaplasmataceae. RNAcentral also lists the same sequence under 1 other name. The record is from RNAcentral.
CUCCGUGUUGUAGCUAACGCGUUAAGCACUCCGCCUGGGGACUACGGUCGCAAGACUAAAACUCAAAGGAAUUGACGGGGACCCGCACAAGCGGUGGAGCAUGUGGUUUAAUUCGAUGCAACGCGAAAAACCUUACCACUCCUUGACAUGGAGAUUAGAUCCUUCUUAACGGAAGGGCGCAGUUCGGCUGGAUCUCGCACAGGUGCUGCAUGGCUGUCGUCAGCUCGUGUCGUGAGAUGUUGGGUUAAGUCCCGCAACGAGCGUAACCCUCAUCCUUAGUUGCCAGCGGGUAAGCCGGGCACUUUAAGGAAACUGCCGGUGGUAAACCGGAGGAAGGUGGGGAUGAUGUCAAGUCAGCACGGCCCUUAUGGGGUGGGCUACACACGUGCUACAAUGGUGACUACAAUAGGUUGCAAUGUCGCAAGGCUGAGCUAAUCCGUAAAAGUCAUCUCAGUUCGGAUUGUCCUCUGCAACUCGAGGGCAUGAAGUCGGAAUCGCUAGUAAUCGUGGAUCAGCAUGCCACGGUGAAUACGUUCUCGGGUCUUGUACACACUGCCCGUCACGCCAUGGGAAUUGGCUUAACUCGAAGCUGGUGCGC